UUACACAUGCAGCCGAGCGGUACAUUUCUAGCUUGCUAGAAGAUGACGAGCGGCGGACGGGUGAGUAAUACUUAGGAAUCUACCUAGUAGUGGGGGAUAGCUCGGGGAAACUCGAAUUAAUACCGCAUACGACCUACGGGAGAAAGGGGGCAACUUGUUGCUCUCGCUAUUAGAUGAGCCUAAGUCGGAUUAGCUAGAUGGUGGGGUAAAGGCCUACCAUGGCGACGAUCUGUAGCUGGUCUGAGAGGAUGAUCAGCCACACCGGGACUGAGACACGGCCCGGACUCCUACGGGAGGCAGCAGUGGGGAAUAUUGGACAAUGGGGGAAACCCUGAUCCAGCCAUGCCGCGUGUGUGAAGAAGGCCUUUUGGUUGUAAAGCACUUUAAGCAGUGAAGAAGACUCUUCGGUUAAUACCCGGAGACGAUGACAUUAGCUGCAGAAUAAGCACCGGCUAACUCUGUGCCAGCAGCCGCGGUAAU
This 480-nucleotide ribosomal RNA is filed under the name uncultured bacterium. RNAcentral's name for it is "bacterial SSU rRNA". It matches the Rfam family "Bacterial small subunit ribosomal RNA", at positions 49 to 524 of the family's 1533-position model. The record is from RNAcentral.